RNAcentral lists this long non-coding RNA (446 nucleotides) under Equus asinus (donkey). RNAcentral's name for it is "lncRNA (ENSEASG00005032314.1)". The record is from RNAcentral. Lineage: Eukaryota; Metazoa; Chordata; Mammalia; Perissodactyla; Equidae.
GAUAAAAUGGGAAGAUUUACACAUCUCAGCCUCUCUGUCUACCUACCCCAUCCAAUCGUCCUUCCAUAUCUUCCCAAGCCAUGGUUCAGUGAAACCCAAGAAGCUUCCCAGUUGCCAUGGAAAUGCCAAGGAUACAUCUAAUAGGAAGUGGUGAAACUUGAACAGGAACAAGGAAGGGGUGUCCCCCAAUGAUUAUACAAGACCAUUUGCUGUCUGCAGCAAACUGACAUUGGAGCAUCAGUGGAUGGGGCGUGCAGAGAGAGCUCACAGGAGUGCUUAACUGCUCAUCUUUCGAGAGAUCUAAAGAGUAGAAGUGGUGGACCCCAGCCCCCAGAUAAGAAGUACCCAAACUGUGCUUCUUGCUCCAUCAUCAUUUCCUUUCUCAUCUCAUCCUCUGAUCCAAAGGCUUGUGGGUCAAUUGCUCAGGGUCUCAUUUAAACCACUGC